Molecule: ribosomal RNA, 160 nt
Filed under: uncultured bacterium
Lineage: Bacteria
Description: partial 16S ribosomal RNA
Rfam family: Bacterial small subunit ribosomal RNA
Source: RNAcentral
CCUACGGGAGGCAGCAGUGGGGAAUAUUGCACAAUGGGGGAAACCCUGAUGCAGCGACGCCGCGUGGAGGAAGAAGGUCUUCGGAUUGUAAACUCCUGUUGUUGAGGAAUGAUAAUGACGGUACUCAACAAGGAAGUGACGGCUAACUACGUGCAGCAGC